RNAcentral lists this ribosomal RNA (377 nucleotides) under uncultured organism. RNAcentral's name for it is "partial 16S ribosomal RNA". It matches the Rfam family "Bacterial small subunit ribosomal RNA", at positions 527 to 896 of the family's 1533-position model. The record is from RNAcentral.
AGAGGGUGCAAACGUUGUUCGGAAUUACUGGGCAUAAAGCGUACGUAGGCGGCGCGUCUAGUGCAUGGUGAAAUCCCACGGCUUACCCGUGGAACUGCUGUGCAUACUGGCGUGCUCGAGGACGGUAGGGGAGUGCGGAACUCUUGGUGGAGCGGUGAAAUGCGUAGAUAUCAAGAGGAACACCGAAGGCGAAGGCAGCACUCUGGUCCGUUUCUGACGCUGAGGUACGAAAGCCAGGGGUAGCGAACGGGAUUAGAUACCCCGGUAGUCCUGGCCGUAAACGAUGGGUACUAGUUAGUGGUCCCUUCCUGUGGGAUCAUUGGCGAAGCAAAAUGUGAUAAGUACCCCCCGGCCUGGGGAGUAUGGUCGCAAGGCUA